RNAcentral lists this ribosomal RNA (828 nucleotides) under uncultured Bacteroidota bacterium. Its description in RNAcentral is "bacterial SSU rRNA". It matches the Rfam family "Bacterial small subunit ribosomal RNA", at positions 612 to 1440 of the family's 1533-position model. Lineage: Bacteria; Pseudomonadati; Bacteroidota. The record is from RNAcentral.
ACUCCAGAACUGCCAUUGAUACUAUUUAUCUUGAAUAUUGUGGAGGUAAGCGGAAUAUGUCAUGUAGCGGUGAAAUACUUAGAUAUGACAUAGAACACCCAUUGCGAAGGCAGCUUACUACGCAUAUAUUGACGCUGAGGCACGAAAGCGUGGGGAUCAAACAGGAUUAGAUACCCUGGUAGUCCACGCCCUAAACGAUGGAUACUCGACAUACGCGAUACACUGUGUGUGUCUGAGCGAAAGCAUUAAGUAUCCCACCUGGGAAGUACGUUCGCAAGAAUGAAACUCAAAGGAAUUGGCGGGGGUCCGCACAAGCGGUGGAGUAUGUGGUUUAAUUCGAUGAUACGCGAGGAACCUUACCUGGGCUAGAAUGCUGGGAGACCGCUAGUGAAAGCUAGUUUUGUAGCAAUACACUGCCAGUAAGGUGCUGCAUGGCCGUCGUCAGCUCGUGCCGUGAGGUGUUGGGUUAAGUCCCGCAACGAGCGCAACCCCUAUCUUUAGUUGCCAACAGGUAAUGCUGGGAACUCUAAAGAAACUGCCGCCGUAAGGUGUGAGGAAGGAGGGGAUGAUGUCAGGUCAUCAUGGCCUUUAUGCCCAGGGCUACACACGUACUACAAUGGGGAAGACAAAGGGCUGCAACAUAGCGAUAUGAAGCCAAUCCCAAAAACUUCCUCUCAGUUCAGAUUGCAGGCUGCAACUCGCCUGCAUGAAGCUGGAAUCGCUAGUAAUCGUAUAUCAGCAAUGAUACGGUGAAUACGUUCCCGGACCUUGCACACACCGCCCGUCAAGCCAUGGGAGUCGGGUGUACCUAAGGUCGGUAACCGAAAG